UACGUAGGGGGCAAGCGUUGUCCGGAAUCAUUGGGCGUAAAGAGCGCGUAGGCGGCCCUGUAAGUCCGCUGUGAAAGUCAAGGGCUCAACCCUUGGAUGCCGGUGGAUACUGCAGGGCUAGAGUCCGGAAGAGGCGAGUGGAAUUCCUGGUGUAGCGGUGAAAUGCGCAGAUAUCAGGAGGAACACCGGUGGCGAAGGCGGAUCUCUGGGCCGUAACUGACGCUGAGGAGCGAAAGCAUGGGGAGCGAACAGG
This 253-nucleotide ribosomal RNA is filed under the name uncultured bacterium. Its description in RNAcentral is "partial 16S ribosomal RNA". It matches the Rfam family "Bacterial small subunit ribosomal RNA", at positions 524 to 776 of the family's 1533-position model. The record is from RNAcentral.